This 465-nucleotide ribosomal RNA is filed under the name uncultured bacterium. Its description in RNAcentral is "partial 16S ribosomal RNA". It matches the Rfam family "Bacterial small subunit ribosomal RNA", at positions 338 to 795 of the family's 1533-position model. The record is from RNAcentral.
CCUACGGGAGGCAGCAGUGGGGAAUUUUGGACAAUGGGCGCAAGCCUGAUCCAGCUAUUCCGCGUGUGGGAAGACGGCCUUCGGGUUGUAAACCACUUUUGUAGAGAACGAAAAGUCUAUUGAUAAUACCGAUAGAUGAUGACGGUACUCUAAGAAUAAGCACCGGCUAACUACGUGCCAGCAGCCGCGGUAAUACGUAGGGUGCGAGCGUUAAUCGGAAUUACUGGGCGUAAAGGGUGUGCAGGCGGUUUUGUAAGAUGGAUGUGAAAGCCCCGGGCUUAACCUGGGAAAGCCAUACAUGACUGCAAGACUAGAGUGCGUCAGAGGGGGGUGGAAUUCCAAGUGUAGCAGUGAAAUGCGUAGAUAUUUGGAAGAACACCGAUGGCGAAGGCAGUCCCCUGGGACGCAACUGACGCUCAUACACGAAAGCGUGGGGAGCAAACAGGAUUAGAUACCCGUGUAGUC